Non-coding RNA from Meleagris gallopavo (turkey), 367 nucleotides. NCBI's taxonomy places the organism in Eukaryota, Metazoa, Chordata, Aves, Galliformes, Phasianidae. The record is from RefSeq and is a predicted model, not a curated record.
AGAAAAUGAAAAAGUUACAAAAACUAGUCAGCACCAGAAGAAAGUAUAUGGCUGCACUAGAGGAAUUUUGGACGUUUACCAAUGUUGCUUUUCAGCUGCUUCAUCCCCACUGCUCUUCUGUCCUACACGUGAGAGGCCAGCACUGGUGGUGUAAAUUCUGCCCUGGGGUCCUACUGCUUGUUCUCCAGGUACCACGGAUCCAAAGCUGACAGGAGCUGGAGCCAUCCUAAGAAUCACCUGCUGUUCAGCAAGGAGACAGGCCCCAAGUAGCUCAGCUCCAUCUGAUUUGAUAGCUGUACCCUAUCCAGUCAUCAGUCAAAACCCACCAGUGGCCAGGCCUGGAGCUGGGCUUAUUAAGCCCAUUAUC